GGGUUGUGAGGUUAAGCGACUAAGCGUACACGGUGGAUGCCCUGGCAGUCAGAGGCGAUGAAGGACGUGCUAAUCUGCGAAAAGCGCCGGCGAGGUGAUAUGAACCUUUGACCCGGCGAUGUCCGAAUGGGGAAACCCAGUGUGUUCCGACACACUAUCGUUAACUGAAUACAUAGGUUAACGAGGCGAACCGGGGGAACUGAAACAUCUAAGUACCCCGAGGAAAAGAAAUCAACCGAGAUUCCCCCAGUAGCGGCGAGCGAACGGGGAGGAGCCCAGAGUCUGAAUCAGCGUGUGUGUUAGUGGAACGGUCUGGAAAGUCCGGCGAUACAGGGUGACAGCCCCGUACACGAAAGCACACAUGCUGUGAACUCGAAGAGUAGGGCGGGACACGUGGUAUCCUGUCUGAAUAUGGGGGGACCAUCCUCCAAGGCUAAAUACUCCUGACUGACCGAUAGUGAACCAGUACCGUGAGGGAAAGGCGAAAAGAACCCCGGCGAGGGGAGUGAAAAAGAACCUGAAACCGUGUACGUACAAGCAGUGGGAGCCCCACCACUAAGCCAGUGGUGAGUCCACGUCAGCAUCCUUUGCCGAAGGUAAGGUUAACGGAGCGCAAGCGACGUUCAACCUCAAAAGAAGCAGAGGGGGCUUAGUGGUGGGGUGACUGCGUACCUUUUGUAUAAUGGGUCAGCGACUUAUAUUCUGUAGCAAGGUUAACCGAAUAGGGGAGCCGAAGGGAAACCGAGUCUUAACUGGGCGUUAAGUUGCAGGGUAUAGACCCGAAACCCGGUGAUCUAGCCAUGGGCAGGUUGAAGGUUGGGUAACACUAACUGGAGGACCGAACCGACUAAUGUUGAAAAAUUAGCGGAUGACCUGUGGCUGGGGGUGAAAGGCCAAUCAAACCGGGAGAUAGCUGGUUCUCCCCGAAAGCUAUUUAGGUAGCGCCUCGUGAACUCAUCUUCGGGGGUAGAGCACUGUUUCGGCUAGGGGGUCAUCCCGACUUACCAACCCGAUGCAAACUGCGAAUACCGAAGAAUGUUAUCACGGGAGACACACGGCGGGUGCUAACGUCCGUCGUGAAGAGGGAAACAACCCAGACCGCCAGCUAAGGUCCCAAAGUCAUGGUUAAGUGGGAAACGAUGUGGGAAGGCCCAGACAGCCAGGAUGUUGGCUUAGAAGCAGCCAUCAUUUAAAGAAAGCGUAAUAGCUCACUGGUCGAGUCGGCCUGCGCGGAAGAUGUAACGGGGCUAAACCAUGCACCGAAGCUGCGGCAGCGACGCUUAGGCGUUGUUGGGUAGGGGAGCGUUCUGUAAGCCGUAGAAGGUGGCCUGUGAGGGCUGCUGGAGGUAUCAGAAGUGCGAAUGCUGACAUAAGUAACGAUAAAGCGGGUGAAAAGCCCGCUCGCCGGAAGACCAAGGGUUCCUGUCCAACGUUAAUCGGGGCAGGGUGAGUCGACCCCUAAGGCGAGGCCGAAAGGCGUAGUCGAUGGGAAACAGGUUAAUAUUCCUGUACUUGGUGUUACUGCGAAGGGGGGACGGAGAAGGCUAUGUUAGCCGGGCGACGGUUGUCCCGGUUUAAGCAUGUAGGCGGAGGUUCAAGGUAAAUCCGGUACCUUUUAACGCUGAGGUGUGAUGACGAGGCACUACGGUGCUGAAGUAACAAAUGCCCUGCUUCCAGGAAAAGCCUCUAAGCUCCAGGUAACACGAAAUCGUACCCCAAACCGACACAGGUGGUCAGGUAGAGAAUACCAAGGCGCUUGAGAGAACUCGGGUGAAGGAACUAGGCAAAAUGGUGCCGUAACUUCGGGAGAAGGCACGCUGACAUGUAGGUGAAGCCCCUGCGGGUGGAGCUGAAGUCAGUCGAAGAUACCAGCUGGCUGCAACUGUUUAUUAAAAACACAGCACUGUGCAAACACGAAAGUGGACGUAUACGGUGUGACGCCUGCCCGGUGCCGGAAGGUUAAUUGAUGGGGUUAUCCUUAGGGAGAAGCUCUUGAUCGAAGCCCCGGUAAACGGCGGCCGUAACUAUAACGGUCCUAAGGUAGCGAAAUUCCUUGUCGGGUAAGUUCCGACCUGCACGAAUGGCGUAAUGAUGGCCAGGCUGUCUCCACCCGAGACUCAGUGAAAUUGAACUCGCUGUGAAGAUGCAGUGUACCCGCGGCAAGACGGAAAGACCCCGUGAACCUUUACUAUAGCUUGACACUGAACAUUGAGCCUUGAUGUGUAGGAUAGGUGGGAGGCUUUGAAGCGUGGACGCCAGUCUGCGUGGAGCCAACCUUGAAAUACCACCCUUUAAUGUUUGAUGUUCUAACCUGGCGCCGUAAUCCGGCGUGGGGACAGUGUCUGGUGGGUAGUUUGACUGGGGCGGUCUCCUCCUAAAGAGUAACGGAGGAGCACGAAGGUUGGCUAAUCCUGGUCGGACAUCAGGAGGUUAGUGCAAUGGCAUAAGCCAGCUUGACUGCGAGCGUGACGGCGCGAGCAGGUGCGAAAGCAGGUCAUAGUGAUCCGGUGGUUCUGAAUGGAAGGGCCAUCGCUCAACGGAUAAAAGGUACUCCGGGGAUAACAGGCUGAUACCGCCCAAGAGUUCAUAUCGACGGCGGUGUUUGGCACCUCGAUGUCGGCUCAUCACAUCCUGGGGCUGAAGUAGGUCCCAAGGGUAUGGCUGUUCGCCAUUUAAAGUGGUACGCGAGCUGGGUUUAGAACGUCGUGAGACAGUUCGGUCCCUAUCUGCCGUGGGCGCUGGAGAAUUGAGGGGGGCUGCUCCUAGUACGAGAGGACCGGAGUGGACGCAUCACUGGUGUUCGGGUUGUCAUGCCAAUGGCAUUGCCCGGUAGCUACAUGCGGAAGAGAUAAGUGCUGAAAGCAUCUAAGCACGAAACUUGCCCCGAGAUGAGUUCUCCCUGAGACCCAGAGUCUCCUGAAGGAACGUUAAAGACGAUGACGUUGAUAGGCCGGGUGUGUAAGCGCAGCGAUGCGUUGAGCUAACCGGUACUAAUGAACCGUGAGGCUUAACCUUACAACGCCGAAG
Molecule: ribosomal RNA, 3027 nt
Filed under: Pluralibacter gergoviae
Lineage: Bacteria; Pseudomonadati; Pseudomonadota; Gammaproteobacteria; Enterobacterales; Enterobacteriaceae
Description: bacterial LSU rRNA
Rfam family: Bacterial large subunit ribosomal RNA
Source: RNAcentral